CAGUCGCCACGGUAAAACAGAGGGUGCGAGCGUUAAUCGGAUUUACUGGGCGUAAAGCGUGCGUAGGCGGCUAAUUGAGUCGGAUGUGAAAUCCCCGAGCUUAACUUGGGAAUUGCAUUCGAUACUGGUUAGCUAGAGUGUGGGAGAGGAUGGUAGAAUUCCAGGUGUAGCGGUGAAAUGCGUAGAGAUCUGGAGGAAUACCGAUGGCGAAGGCAGCCAUCUGGCCUAACACUGACGCUGAGGUACGAAAGCAUGGGGAGCAAACAGGAUUAGAUACCCGGGUAGUCCCUGUCUCUUAUAC
This 301-nucleotide ribosomal RNA is filed under the name uncultured bacterium. RNAcentral describes it as "partial 16S ribosomal RNA". It matches the Rfam family "Bacterial small subunit ribosomal RNA", at positions 509 to 807 of the family's 1533-position model. The record is from RNAcentral.